Molecule: ribosomal RNA, 492 nt
Filed under: uncultured bacterium
Lineage: Bacteria
Description: partial 16S ribosomal RNA
Rfam family: Bacterial small subunit ribosomal RNA
Source: RNAcentral
AGUGAACGCUGGCGGUAGGCCUAACACAUGCGAGUCGAACGGCAGCACAGUAAGAGCUUGCUCUUACGGGUGGCGAGUGGCGGACGGGUGAGGAAUAAAUCGGAAUCUACUUUUUCGUGGGGGAUAACGUAGGGAAACUUACGCUAAUACCGCAUACGACCUACGGGUGAAAGCAGGGGAUCUUCGGACCUUGCGCGAUUGAAUGAGCCGAUAUCGGAUUAGCUAGUUGGCGGGGUAAAGGCCCACCAAGGCAACGAUCCGUAGCUGGUCUGAGAGGAUGAUCAGCCACACUGGAACUGAGACACGGUCCAGACUCCUACGGGAGGCAGCAGUGGGGAAUAUUGGACAAUGGGCGCAAGCCUGAUCCAGCCAUACCGCGUGGGUGAAGAAGGCCUUCGGGUUGUAAAGCCCUUUUGUUGGGAAAGAAAAGCAGCAGGUUAAUACCCCGCUGUUCUGACGGUACCCAAAGAAUAAGCACCGGCUAACUUCGUG